AAUAAAGACUUUAACUGAUCAAGCACACACAUCCAUACAUAUGCAAUAAUACUAAGUGCAAUAAUCCUUUCUGUCAUCGUUGUAUUUUUACUCAGUUGUAUAUAUAUUUGUAUUUGUAUUCUAUUUUUAUCUUAUUGUAUAUUUAUUUUUAUUUUAUUCUACUGUAUAUAGUAUUUUAUUUUAUUCUAUUCUGUACAGUUGUGUACUGUAUUUAUUCUUAUUGUAUUCUAAUUUUUGCCUCAUAACUUUUGCACUGUCCACUUCCUGCUGUGACAAAACAAAUUUCCCACGUGUGGGACUAAUAAAGGUUAUCUUAUCUUAUCUUAUCUUAUCUUAUCUUAUCUUAUCUUAUCUUAGUGUCAAGUUCACAUGUCUUAGUAUGGGUCUCGGUGUUAGUUCCUGUUUUACGUUGAUAGUUCCUGUCUUGUGUGUAUUAUGUUCAGGUUUGCUUCAUCUGUCUCAUCAAUCGGAUUAGUGUCAACUGUGUUCCCACCUGUGUCCUGUUCCCUUCUUAUCCUCUCUGUGGCUGUAUCCCAAUUCAGGGUCUGCAGCCUUAAAGUACGCAGCCUCAACGAUCCUCAAGGGCCGCGUACUCAAAGGCCGGAAGUGCGAGGCUUGUGAAAUGGGACGGUCUAGCCUCUGUUGCGCUGCCCAGGUUGCCUAGCAACCAUGAUACUAACAACUGGAAACGUGUCAUACAGCUUUGCUUGACAGAAAUGAAGGAGAAAAUCUUUUGUUCAUUUGUUGGUUUCUUUCUACAUGAGCUUUGAUCAUUCUCUGUAAGAUUAAGCUCAGCUAUUGAACGGCGUAUAUUUUAAAGUAAAGGCUUUAAAACCAAGUUAGUACAAACGUCACUUAUGUCACAUAACUUUGCCGACAUGUGGCCAACAGUAAUGUUUUAAUGUUCUUCGUUAUUAAACAUUUGCACAUAAAUAAGUGACAUAAUAUUCAGUACUUACUUAAAGUGUACUCUUCGGGCGCCCCUCAUCCGCCGUUUUUUUUCGGCAAAAUUAUCCACACCCACCGCCACGCUAUGCAUUCUGGGAUAUGUUGGGCCACGAAGUCUACACUGCCACAGCCUUAAAAUUCAGGGAAAUGAAGGACGCAUUUCAGGGCCGCAUUUCGAGCAGCCUUUGAA
Long non-coding RNA from Astatotilapia calliptera (eastern happy), 1138 nucleotides. The record is from Ensembl. Lineage: Eukaryota; Metazoa; Chordata; Actinopteri; Cichliformes; Cichlidae.